CCCCAGUGAAUGAAUAAGAAGGAAUCAAGAGAUCAUCCAGGGCAGCCUGUCCUAAUUGCAAGGCCAUCCUCUUCUCCAAAUCAAGCCGGCAAGCAACUGUUGUUUCGAUAUAUAUUGCUGCACGUAGCAGCAUAGAUAGAAAGCUAACUGACAGUACAUUCCUCUCCCUUGGCAGAAGACUAACAAUUGUCUCUAAAACAACCCUCUUUUCAUGCUCUUGUUGAAGUUCAAUUUUCUUCCUCCCCUUUCCAAAUAUUUCCAAACCUCGUAGUGAUUUCUGUGCAUAAAGCAUAAGUAUGGGACCAAGAGCAUAUUGUUUGAAUCCUCUAGC
This 331-nucleotide unclassified non-coding RNA is filed under the name Hevea brasiliensis (rubber tree). Lineage: Eukaryota; Viridiplantae; Streptophyta; Magnoliopsida; Malpighiales; Euphorbiaceae. The record is from RNAcentral.